This 31-nucleotide non-coding RNA is filed under the name Mus musculus (house mouse). The record is from RNAcentral. Lineage: Eukaryota; Metazoa; Chordata; Mammalia; Rodentia; Muridae.
UGGAACGUUGAGACCAGCUCGCUGUUGGCAA